UACACUCCUGCGGGAGGCAGCAGUGGGGAAUAUUGGACAAUGGGCGCAAGCCUGAUCCAGCCAUGCCGCGUGAGUGAUGAAGGCCCUAGGGUUGUAAAGCUCUUUCACCGGUGAAGAUAAUGACGGUAACCGGAGAAGAAGCCCCGGCUAACUUCGUGCCAGCAGCCGCGGUAAUACGAAGGGGGCUAGCGUUGUUCGGAUUUACUGGGCGUAAAGCGCACGUAGGCGGACUAUUAAGUCAGGGGUGAAAUCCCGGGGCUCAACCCCGGAACUGCCUUUGAUACUGGUAGUCUUGAGUUCGAGAGAGGUGAGUGGAAUUCCGAGUGUAGAGGUGAAAUUCGUAGAUAUUCGGAGGAACACCAGUGGCGAAGGCGGCUCACUGGCUCGAUACUGACGCUGACGUGCGAAAGCGUGGGGAGCAAACAGGAUUAGAAACCCUAGUAGUCCCAUGAU
This 453-nucleotide ribosomal RNA is filed under the name uncultured organism. Its description in RNAcentral is "partial 16S ribosomal RNA". It matches the Rfam family "Bacterial small subunit ribosomal RNA", at positions 332 to 801 of the family's 1533-position model. The record is from RNAcentral.